This 491-nucleotide ribosomal RNA is filed under the name uncultured bacterium. Its description in RNAcentral is "partial 16S ribosomal RNA". It matches the Rfam family "Bacterial small subunit ribosomal RNA", at positions 29 to 506 of the family's 1533-position model. The record is from RNAcentral.
AGUGAACGCUGGCGGUAGGCCUAACACAUGCAAGUCGAACGGCAGCACAGUAAGAGCUUGCUCUUACGGGUGGCGAGUGGCGGACGGGUGAGGAAUACAUCGGAAUCUACUUUUUCGUGGGGGAUAACGUAGGGAAACUUACGCUAAUACCGCAUACGACCUACGGGUGAAAGCAGGGGAUCUUCGGACCUUGCACGAUUGAAUGAGCCGAUGUCGGAUUAGCUAGUUGGCGGGGUAAAGGCCCACCAAGGCGACGAUCCGUAGCUGGUCUGAGAGGAUGAUCAGCCACACUGGAACUGAGACACGGUCCAGACUCCUACGGGAGGCAGCAGUGGGGAAUAUUGGGCAAUGGGCGCAAGCCUGAUCCAGCCAUACCGCGUGGGUGAAGAAGGCCUUCGGGUUGUAAAGCCCUUUUGUUGGGAAAGAAAAGCAGCAGGUUAAUACCCCGCUGUUCUGACGGUACCCAAAGAAUAAGCACCGGCUAACUUCGG